GAGCAAGUUUCAUGGAAACGCCACAUCGUAACGAGCGCAACCCUGGAAUAAUCGAGCGACUUUGUUUCAUUUGGAAAGCACGAGAAAGCUUCUUUUUCACUGAGCGGUGCGUAACGAUGAUCGAAUCACGUGGAUGAAUCGGUGAUAUCGAAGUUUGUGAGCUUUAGGGAGAAGUUCGUAAGUUUAAAGUUAGAUGAGUUAAAGACUUUUGGGAUGGAUAUCCGGGGAACAAGGGUUUGGCCUUUUCCUAUAGAAGGUGAGAAAUCCAACUGGGACACUCUACGUGGAAUCCAAUCUCGCCUCAAAGAGGCUCGUCUGUGCUCCAUGGCGUAUUCUCCAGAAAGUUCUGUGACUCGCAGCUUCAAUUAUCGAGUUCUCAAUCAAUUAAGCGAGUGACGAGAUAAUAAAUUAGUCGGAACAAUCGAGUAUCGUGAUCGAAAUGAUAUUCGAAUGCGACGAGGAAAGAAAGACGAUCGUUCUGCAAAUUAAGGACGAGACGACCAUAGUUGUGUAUAUUUAACUGUCCACGUGAUGACACCUAAGUCCAUGUCUUCCUCAGAUGUUAAUAACAAUCUAAUACAAAUACCCAUAUAUCUUC
This is a long non-coding RNA of Bombus impatiens (common eastern bumble bee), 598 nucleotides long. RefSeq lists it as uncharacterized. The record is from RefSeq and is a predicted model, not a curated record. The transcript has 2 exons. Lineage: Eukaryota; Metazoa; Arthropoda; Insecta; Hymenoptera; Apidae.